Molecule: ribosomal RNA, 802 nt
Filed under: uncultured bacterium
Lineage: Bacteria
Description: bacterial SSU rRNA
Rfam family: Bacterial small subunit ribosomal RNA
Source: RNAcentral
GGCGAACGGGUGAGUAACACGUGAGCAACCUACCCUUGACUCUGGGAUAACAGUUGGAAACAGCUGCUAAUACCGGAUACGACCUCGAUGGGCAUCCGUUGAGGUGGAAAGCUCCGACGGUCAAGGAUGGGCUCGCGGCCUAUCAGCUUGUUGGUGGGGUAAUGGCCUACCAAGGCGACGACGGGUAGCCGGCCUGAGAGGGCGACCGGCCACACUGGGACUGAGAUACGGCCCAGACUCCUACGGGAGGCAGCAGUGGGGAAUAUUGCGCAAUGGGCGAAAGCCUGACGCAGCAACGCCGCGUGCGGGAUGAAGGCCUUCGGGUUGUAGACCGCUUUCAGCAGGGACGAAGGUUUUCUGACGGUACCUGCAGAAGAAGCACCGGCUAACUACGUGCCAGCAGCCGCGGUGAUACGUAGGGUGCGAGCGUUGUCCGGAAUUAUUGGGCGUAAAGAGCUUGUAGGCGGUCUGUUGCGUCGGAAGUGAAAACUCAGGGCUUAACCCUGAGCCUGCUUUCGAUACGGGCAGACUUGAGGGAUGUAGGGGAGAACGGAAUUCCUGGUGGAGCGGUGGAAUGCGCAGAUAUCAGGAGGAACACCAGUGGCGAAGGCGGUUCUCUGGACAUUUCCUGACGCUGAGAAGCGAAAGCGUGGGGAGCAAACAGGCUUAGAUACCCUGGUAGUCCACGCCGUAAACGGUGGGCACUAGGUGUGGGAUCCUUCCACGGAUUCCGUGCCGUAGCUAACGCAUUAAGUGCCCCGCCUGGGGAGUACGGCCGCAAGGCUAAAACUCAAGGAAUUGA